This 654-nucleotide ribosomal RNA is filed under the name Herbiconiux ginsengi. Its description in RNAcentral is "bacterial SSU rRNA". It matches the Rfam family "Bacterial small subunit ribosomal RNA", at positions 188 to 853 of the family's 1533-position model. The record is from RNAcentral. Lineage: Bacteria; Bacillati; Actinomycetota; Actinomycetes; Micrococcales; Microbacteriaceae.
GCAUGGCUAGGGGGUGGAAAGAUUUUUUGGUCAAGGAUGGACUCGCGGCCUAUCAGCUUGUUGGUGAGGUAAUGGCUCACCAAGGCGACGACGGGUAGCCGGCCUGAGAGGGUGACCGGCCACACUGGGACUGAGACACGGCCCAGACUCCUACGGGAGGCAGCAGUGGGGAAUAUUGCACAAUGGGCGCAAGCCUGAUGCAGCAACGCCGCGUGAGGGAUGACGGCCUUCGGGUUGUAAACCUCUUUUAGUAGGGAAGAAGCGAAAGUGACGGUACCUGCAGAAAAAGCACCGGCUAACUACGUGCCAGCAGCCGCGGUAAUACGUAGGGUGCAAGCGUUGUCCGGAAUUAUUGGGCGUAAAGAGCUCGUAGGCGGUUUGUCGCGUCUGCUGUGAAAACUGGAGGCUCAACCUCCAGCCUGCAGUGGGUACGGGCAGACUAGAGUGCGGUAGGGGAGAUUGGAAUUCCUGGUGUAGCGGUGGAAUGCGCAGAUAUCAGGAGGAACACCGAUGGCGAAGGCAGAUCUCUGGGCCGUAACUGACGCUGAGGAGCGAAAGCGUGGGGAGCGAACAGGAUUAGAUACCCUGGUAGUCCACGCCGUAAACGUUGGGAACUAGAUGUGGGGGCCAUUCCACGGUCUCCGUGUCGCAGCU